CACAGAGUUAAACAAAUGCAACAUGAACAAAAGUAACACAGCUUAAAAUAUUCUACUACAGAGUAGUACAACAUGAUGAGAACAAGAUGAGAAAAUAAAAAAAUAAGGAAAUGAAACCAUCGAGAGAAUAUGUGUGGGUGUUCUCUUCCCUAAAACCCCUCAGAAAAAGUCUUAGCUUAGCUACGCUGUGGACUUUCCCUUUCAGCCCUGGCUGCCGCCUGGAAGCUGGCUCUUCCCAGGCUGCAAUAGGAUUCAAGGUCUGAGCGGCUGCGGGACUGGCAGUGUUUUGUUUACAUAGUUGUUUGUGCACCCACAUGCACACCUGGUGUCCAAGGAGGCCGACCCCG
This is a non-coding RNA of Peromyscus maniculatus bairdii (prairie deer mouse), 347 nucleotides long. Lineage: Eukaryota; Metazoa; Chordata; Mammalia; Rodentia; Cricetidae. The record is from RefSeq and is a predicted model, not a curated record.